This 1505-nucleotide ribosomal RNA is filed under the name Bacillus pumilus. RNAcentral describes it as "bacterial SSU rRNA". It matches the Rfam family "Bacterial small subunit ribosomal RNA". The record is from RNAcentral. Lineage: Bacteria; Bacillati; Bacillota; Bacilli; Caryophanales; Bacillaceae.
GAGUUUGAUCCUGGCUCAGGACGAACGCUGGCGGCGUGCCUAAUACAUGCAAGUCGAGCGGACAGAAGGGAGCUUGCUCCCGGAUGUGAGCGGCGGGUGAGUAACACGUGGGUAACCUGCCUGUAAGACUGGGAUAACUCCGGGAAACCGGAGCUAAUACCGGAUAGUUCCUUGAACCGCAUGGUUCAAGGAUGAAAGACGGUUUCGGCUGUCACUUACAGAUGGACCCGCGGCGCAUUAGCUAGUUGGUGGGGUAAUGGCUCACCAAGGCGACGAUGCGUAGCCGACCUGAGAGGGUGAUCGGCCACACUGGGACUGAGACACGGCCCAGACUCCUACGGGAGGCAGCAGUAGGGAAUCUUCCGCAAUGGACGAAAGUCUGACGGAGCAACGCCGCGUGAGUGAUGAAGGUUUUCGGAUCGUAAAGCUCUGUUGUUAGGGAAGAACAAGUGCGAGAGUAACUGCUCGCACCUUGACGGUACCUAACCAGAAAGCCACGGCUAACUACGUGCCAGCAGCCGCGGUAAUACGUAGGUGGCAAGCAUUGUCCGGAAUUAUUGGGCGUAAAGGGCUCGCAGGCGGUUUCCUAAGUCUGAUGUGAAAGCCCCCGGCUCAACCGGGGAGGGUCAUUGGAAACUGGGAAACUUGAGUGCAGAAGAGGAGAGUGGAAUUCCACGUGUAGCGGUGAAAUGCGUAGAGAUGUGGAGGAACACCAGUGGCGAAGGCGACUCUCUGGUCUGUAACUGACGCUGAGGAGCGAAAGCGUGGGGAGCGAACAGGAUUAGAUACCCUGGUAGUCCAGCCGUAAACGAUGAGUGCUAAGUGUUAGGGGGUUUCCGCCCCUUAGUGCUGCAGCUAACGCAUUAAGCACUCCGCCUGGGGAGUACGGUCGCAAGACUGAAACUCAAAGGAAUUGACGGGGGCCCGCACAAGCGGUGGAGCAUGUGGUUUAAUUCGAAGCAACGCGAAGAACCUUACCAGGUCUUGACAUCCUCUGACAACCCUAGAGAUAGGGCUUUCCCUUCGGGGACAGAGUGACAGGUGGUGCAUGGUUGUCGUCAGCUCGUGUCGUGAGAUGUUGGGUUAAGUCCCGCAACGAGCGCAACCCUUGAUCUUAGUUGCCAGCAUUCAGUUGGGCACUCUAAGGUGACUGCCGGUGACAAACCGGAGGAAGGUGGGGAUGACGUCAAAUCAUCAUGCCCCUUAUGACCUGGGCUACACACGUGCUACAAUGGACAGAACAAAGGGCUGCAAGACCGCAAGGUUUAGCCAAUCCCAUAAAUCUGUUCUCAGUUCGGAUCGCAGUCUGCAACUCGACUGCGUGAAGCUGGAAUCGCUAGUAAUCGCGGAUCAGCAUGGCGCGGUGAAUACGUUCCCGGGCCUUGUACACACCGCCCGUCACACCACGAGAGUUUGCAACACGCGCAGUCGGUGAGGUCACCUUUAUGGAGCCAGCCGCCGAAGGUGGGGCAGAUGAUUGGGGUGAAGUCGUAACAAGGUAGCCG